CUACGUGCCAGCAGCCGCGGUAAUACGUAGGGCGCGAGCGUUGUCCGGAAUUAUUGGGCGUAAAGAGCUUGUAGGCGGUUUGUCGCGUCUGCUGUGAAAGGCCGGGGCUUAACUCCGUGUAUUGCAGUGGGUACGGGCAGACUAGAGUGCAGUAGGGGAGACUGGAAUUCCUGGUGUAGCGGUGGAAUGCGCAGAUAUCAGGAGGAACACCGAUGGCGAAGGCAGGUCUCUGGGCUGUAACUGACGCUGAGAAGCGAAAGCAUGGGGAGCGAACAGGAUUAGAUACCCUGGUAGUCCAUGCCGUAAACGUUGGGCACUAGGUGUGGGGGACAUUCCACGUUUUCCGCGCCGUAGCUAACGCAUUAAGUGCCCCGCCUGGGGAGUACGUACGCAAGUAUGAAACUCAAAGGAAUUGACGGGGACCCGCACAAGCGGUGGAGCAUGUGGUUUAAUUCGACGCAACGCGAGGAACCUUACCAGCGUUUGACAUC
This 491-nucleotide ribosomal RNA is filed under the name uncultured bacterium. Its description in RNAcentral is "bacterial SSU rRNA". It matches the Rfam family "Bacterial small subunit ribosomal RNA", at positions 501 to 988 of the family's 1533-position model. The record is from RNAcentral.